This 282-nucleotide ribosomal RNA is filed under the name Ctenophora environmental sample. RNAcentral's name for it is "partial Eukaryotic large subunit ribosomal RNA". It matches the Rfam family "Eukaryotic large subunit ribosomal RNA", at positions 1464 to 1745 of the family's 3401-position model. Lineage: Eukaryota; Metazoa; Ctenophora. The record is from RNAcentral.
CAAAUACUCAAAUGAGAACUUUGAGGACUGAAGUGGGGAAAGGUUCCGUGUGAACAGCAGUUGGACACGGGUUAGUCGAUCCUAAGCCAUAGGGAAGUUCCGUUUCAAAGUGCGCGCUCCGCGCCGAUUGGCGAAAGGGAAGCCGGUUAACAUUCCGGCACCUGGAUGUGGAUUAUCCGCGGCAACGCAACUGAAGGUGGAGACGUCGGCAGGGGCCCCGGGAAGAGUUCUCUUUUCUUCUUAACAGCUCAUCACCCUGAAAUCGGUUUGUCCGGAGCUAGG